CUUCUAGCAUCAGCUCUAGAAUCCAGCCAGGAAGAAGGACAUAGUACACAGGGCCAAAGAUCUGGACCAGAUGAGAAAACACCAAACGUCCACCACCACCAUCGCCUUAUCUUCAGAGGGGGGGCUUUCCAUUCAAACAUUUGGCUUUCAUGAGUCAUCCCCAGUCUGGUUCACACCCAGAAGCAUCCUGCGUGGCCAUCAGUGCAUACUGGGCUCCAUAACUGUCUUGUUUUCACAACCGGCUGGAGUGAAGAUGGGAGAGGUGGAAGAUGGAGAAAGACAUAUUGAGAUAAACAUGAGAACAGUCUUGUUUCCUUAUGGGAUUGUGACAAAUAUGCACCAGUACCCUACCAUUUAAGCUUAGCUUAAUGCUGGGAUUGUGAUGGAUUUGUUUUUGAC
This is a long non-coding RNA of Lutra lutra (Eurasian river otter), 399 nucleotides long. RefSeq lists it as uncharacterized. The transcript is spliced from 3 exons. The record is from RefSeq and is a predicted model, not a curated record. Lineage: Eukaryota; Metazoa; Chordata; Mammalia; Carnivora; Mustelidae.